GAUAACAGGCUUAUCUCCCCCAAGAGUCCACAUCGACGGGGAGGUUUGGCACCUCGAUGUCGGCUCAUCGCAUCCUGGGGCUGUAGUCGGUCCCAAGGGUUGGGCUGUUCGCCCAUUAAAGCGGUACGCGAGCUGGGUUCAGAACGUCGUGAGACAGUUC
Molecule: non-coding RNA, 160 nt
Organism: Bacillus sp. FJAT-27231
Lineage: Bacteria; Bacillati; Bacillota; Bacilli; Caryophanales; Bacillaceae
Source: Rfam